GAUGAAGAACGUAGUGAAAUGCGAUAAGUAAUGUGAAUUGCAGAAUUCAGUGAAUCAUCGAAUCUUUGAACGCACAUUGCGCCCCCUGGUAUUCCGGGGGGCAUGCCUGUCCGAGCGUCAUUACAACCCUCAAGCUCAGCUUGGUAUUGGGCCCCGCCGCUUCGGCGGGCCCUAAAGUCAGUGGCGGUGCCGUCCGGCUCCGAGCGUAGUAAUUCUUCUCGCUCUGGAGGCCCGGUCGUGUGCUUGCCAGCAACCCCCAAUUUUUUUCAGGUUGACCUCGGAUCAGGUAGGGAUACCCGCUGAACUUAAGCAUAUCAAUAAGCGGAGGA
Molecule: unclassified non-coding RNA, 329 nt
Filed under: soil metagenome
Description: partial contains 5.8S ribosomal RNA, internal transcribed spacer 2, and large subunit ribosomal RNA
Rfam family: 5.8S ribosomal RNA (bases 1-120)
Source: RNAcentral